Molecule: long non-coding RNA, 4412 nt
Organism: Alexandromys fortis (reed vole)
Lineage: Eukaryota; Metazoa; Chordata; Mammalia; Rodentia; Cricetidae
Exons: 2
Source: RefSeq, a predicted model, not a curated record
AGCAGCUCAGAAUGAUGACGACGGUCCACACUAGCCAGAACCCUGGGAGUUGGGGAGGCAAGACAGAGAGGCACACACAGUGAGGACCGGCAAGAUGGGGCGGCUCGCAAUCGAGGUCUAGAUGGUAUCCUCACGACUGGGCACGAUCAAGGUCUAGAUAGUACCCUCACAGCUGGGCACAGACAGCAGGCCUCACCCUGUCAUUUUAUGUCAAACCAUACAUUCAAAAAACAAUAAAAAAAAAAAGAUUUAUUUAUUGAGUAUGUAUAGUGUUCUGUCUGCAUGUGUCCCUCCAGGCCAGAAGAGGGCACCAGAUCUCAUUAGAGAUGGUUGUGAGCCAACAUGUGGUUGCUGGGAAUUGAACUCAAGACCUCUGGAAGAAGAGGUUAGUGCCAUCUCUCUAGCCUCCUUAAAUAUCUUUUUGCUACAGGCAAAUAUGCUCAGGACAAAAGGAAGGGAAUGGGAAGGAAAGGAGGGUCAAGCCCAUCAAUCACUUCAGCACACUGCCAGGGUCUGUGCUUUAGAUGAGGUGGACACUAAUACGAGACCCUAGACAAAAUACUUGAGCCUUUCUGCUGCUGGCUCCCUCCUCUGUCCCAACCCAGAAGACCUGCAAUUGCGGGGGAUUCCAGAGCAGCCCAGCACAUAAGAAUUCUACAGUCAGGCAGUAGAUUCCCACGCUUUUAAUCCCAGCACUCGGGAGGCAGAGGCAGGUGGAUCUCUGUGAGUUCAAGGCCAGCCUGGUCUACAAAGAGAGUUCCAGGACAGUCAGAGCUGUUUCAGAGAAACCCUGAAAUCUUAGGGUUCACCUGAUGAGAGACAAGCUGAGGCUUUUCCCAUGUGGCUCUGUAAACCAUGAUCACUAAACAGAAAUGGAAAAGUUUUAAUUGCCUCAGGCCCUCUCUUCCCCGGAGAGUGUAAAUGGCUUCCUGUGUUAUCUAUAAUUGGGUAUAAUUCCAUCUCCUGCUGCCUCAACAACCCACUACUCCCCCUCCCGCCACCACCCCUUAAACCUGCCAGGGCAGAGGACACUGGCCACCUCCCUUUCUUCCUCCACUCCAGGCCGUGUGGAGUAGACGACCACAGCCCUCUCAUUUCCCACUGCCUCAGGAGACCCCAGGAUGAGAACACCUCCUCAAUUCUGAACAGAAGGCUUUUCAACACUUUUUAAAAAAUUAAUGGUACACUUUUGCUUAAAUAUAUACAGACAUAUAUGGGAGAAAGAUUGGAAGGAAAAACACAAGAAUAACGACCUCUUAAAAAUGUAUAUAGCUGGGUGGUGGAGCACGCCUUUAAUCCCAGCACUCGGGAGGCAGAGGCAGGCGGAUCUCUGUGAGUUCGAGACCAGCCUGGUCUACAGAGCAAGUUCCAGGACGGCCAGGACUGUUAUAUAGAGAAACCUUGUCUUAGAAAAUAAAAUUAAAUAAAUGAAUAAAUAAAUAGAUAUACAAUAAAUAGAUAAAAAUGUAUAUGUGUGAGUGCUUGCUUUCCUGGUGCCCUUGGUGGUCAGGAGGGAGUUGGCUCUCGUGGAAAUGGAGUUAUAGACGUUGUGAGAAUCCAGGCAGAUGGUGGGACCGGAACCCAGGUCCUCCACAAGAGCAGCAAGUGCCCUUAUCCACUAAGCCCUCUAUCUCUCCAGCCCCAAACAGCGAGAGAGCAUUAUGAGAAAUUUAAGCUUUUUUUCUUUCUCUUUUCUUUGUCUGCUUGUUUUUGAGGGUUUCUCUGAGUAGCCCUGGUUGUCUUGGAAUUCACCCUGUAGACCAGGCUGGCCUCAAACUCAGAGAGAGAUCCUCCUGCCUCUGCCUCCUGAGUGCUGGGGUUAAAGGCCUGGGCCACCACCUUCCAGCUGGCUUUGUUUUUUUCAAAUGAUACAUUUAUUUCUAAAAGGUACUGUGUAGGGUGGAUUUGACAAAAAACACGUAUGUGCAUGCAUGAGAUUGUGAAACAUCUUUUAAAUUACCCUAUGUGUGUAUAAUGUAUCAGUGUAGAUGCUGUGUAUAUGUGUGUAAAGGUCAGAGGAUAAUUUAUGUACGUGCAAGGUCUGGGAGUAACUUCCAGUGCAGAAAUCAGGGGGUACUUUAUGAGCGUUUAUUAACACCAUAAAGUAACCUCCCCUUUAGAGACAGGGUCUCACAUGGCAUAGGCUGGCCUUAAACUUACUAUGCAGCUGAGGCUGGCCUUGAAGUCCUGAUCUUCCCAUCCCUACCUCCCAAGGGCUAGAAUACAGGUGUGUGCCACCACUCCUGGCUGAUCCCAGUGCUUUCUAUAUGACUUUUUUGUUCUCAUUAUUCUAAUUUUAGUAAGGUCUAUGAAGCCAUAGAAUGGCAAUAAAUGUAAUUAACUUAAAAUAUGAAGUGUGCUAACAGCCUAAUAUGGCAAGUUGCCGUUAUCUUUUUAAGUUGUCAUAGAGUUUAAUUGUAUUUAAUAAGCCAUAUUUGGGGGCUUUUUUUUUUUGGUUUUUCGAGACAGGGUUUCUCUAUGGUUUUGGAGCCUGUCCUGGCACUAGCUCUGUAGACCAGGCUGGUCUCGAACUCACAGAGAUCCGCCUGUCUCUGCCUCCUGAGUGCUGGGAUUAAAGGCGUGCGCCACCACCGCCCGGCUAUUUGGGGGCUUUUUAAAAGAUUAUUUAUUUAUUACAUAUAUUAUGCCUGCAUGCAUACCUGCACCCAGAAGAGGGCACCAGGUCUCAUUACAGAUGGUUGUGAGCCACCACGUGAUUGCUGGGAAUUGAACUCAGGAACUCUGGAAGAAGAGUCAGUGCUCUUAACUGCUGAGCCAUCUCUCCAGCCCCCGGGGAAGGGGGCUUAUUUGUUUAAGACAGGGCCUCACUAUAUAGGCCAAGCUGGCAUCAAUACCUUCCUUCCUCCGAGGGCUGAAAUCACGUGUCCAGAGCGUACUCUGUACACAGCAUAUCUGACACCAUUCAGAGAAGACACACAAUACAGUGUAUUGUUUUUCUUUUCAGAAAAGUACAAACAUGCGCGCGUGUGUGUAUGUGUGUAGCUUGUGGAGAGUGUGUAUGUGUGUGUGUGUGUGUAGCUUGUGGAGAACAACUAUGGGGUGUCAGUCCUAGGCUGUCGGCCUUGGAGGCCAGCGCAUCUUUACCCCUUGAGCCAUCUCUCUGGCCCAGAAGAGGGCACUGCGCCCACUGGAGCUGGGGUUACAGCGAGAGCAGCAAGUGCUCGACACAAUUGACCGAACUAUCUCUCUAGGCCAGUGGUUCUCGACCUUCCUAAUGCUGCAACCCUUCAGUACAGUUCCUCAUGUUGUGGGGACCACCAAUUAUUUUUGUUGCUGCUUCAUAACUGUGCUUUUGCUACUGAGCAGUGUUCUUGGUUCCCGAGACCAGAGGGAAAGUGUUUUCCAAUGGUCAAGACCAACAGGCUGAGAACCGCUGCUCUAGGUCACCAUUUUCUUUCCCCUGGGAUUGAAUGCUAAGUGAGCAUCCUCCCACCAAGCCCUCUGGUCCCUAUUCCUACCCUCACUCCACAGCUCAGCUUUAAAAUCAGUAAUUAACGUUAUUUUUACUUGGAUCGUUUUCCCAGUAUUUCCCCAUCUUCUACAUUUUCUAUAUUAUAAUAUACGUGAUCCAAGGCAUCAUUCUCAACUUCUGUGACUUUUGCUUUAAAUUCAGCUGUUAAGUAAAGAAAAUCUCAGCCGGGCAUAGUGACACAUGCCUGUAACCUGCACUCCAGCGUGAAGGUCUAUCUCAGUUCAGAGUUAACGUGGGCCAUCUCAGCAAACAAGAGAAAUCCCAUACCCCACCUUUCAUGUUCACCGAAGAUUCCUGAUUCUCUGCCUUUGGGUGCACAGGUAAGGCUGAACUUCCCAGCCUCUAUGUGUGUGUGGGAAUAUGGGACUAAUUCCACCCACAGCAGAAAUCAUGAGUGGCGUGCCACUGAGAGACUAGAAUGUUUCUUGUGUGACACCUCCCGUCGGCUUUCCAACAGCACCCCAGACAGUCGUGUCUGGCUCUAGGCUGUGAGACACACUCCAGCGGGAACAAAGCCCCAUUUCCCCUUCAGUGGACACACAGUAAGAAUGAGAAAGCCUGUCAGUUUUGGGCACUAGGAUUUUGGACCUGUGUUCCAGGAAACCUAGCCUACCCUGACCGCCACAGUGUGCCUACAGUGUUUCCUACUCAAGAUUGAAGUAUUUAUCAGGAAUCAUUUAAAAGGUUGUGUUACAUUUUUGUUUAUUCUGUGCACAUGGAUAAAGGUCAGAGGUCAAAUGGGUAGAACUGGUUCUCUCUUUCCACCAUGACAGUCUGGGAUCGGCAGUCUACCUCUUGAGGAUUCUUAAACGGAGUCUUGAUAUAAAACAAUGCAGAGGCCCUCUUAACUGAAGUAGCAUAGGAAAAGCUUUCUUUUUUCUCAAAAAAAAAACAAAAACAAAAACAAAAAAAAACAAAA